CCUACGGGAGGCAGCAGUGAGGAAUAUUGGUCAAUGGGCUUACGCCUGAACCAGCCAAGUCGCGUGAGGGAAGACUGCCCUAUGGGUUGUAAACCUCUUUUGUCAGGGAGCAACGCCGGCUACGUGUAGCCGGACUGAGAGUACCUGAAGAAAAAGCAUCGGCUAACUCCGUGCCAGCAGCCGCGGUAAUACGGAGGAUGCGAGCGUUAUCCGGAUUUAUUGGGUUUAAAGGGUGCGUAGGCGGAAUGCCAAGUCAGCGGUAAAAUCGCGGGGCUCAACCUCGCUCCGCCGUUGAAACUGGCGUUCUUGAGUGGGCGAGAAGUAUGCGGAAUGCGUGGUGUAGCGGUGAAAUGCAUAGAUAUCACGCAGAACUCCGAUUGCGAAGGCAGCAUACCGGCGCCCAACUGACGCUGAGGCUCGAAAGCAUGGGUAGCGAACAGGAUUAGAUACCCCAGUAGUC
This 460-nucleotide ribosomal RNA is filed under the name uncultured bacterium. RNAcentral's name for it is "partial 16S ribosomal RNA". It matches the Rfam family "Bacterial small subunit ribosomal RNA", at positions 338 to 795 of the family's 1533-position model. The record is from RNAcentral.